CUUUUUAGUAGGAUUUGUUCGGGAGAGGUGACGGAGAGGAAAGAGGGAAGGCGACCGCGCGGAACGAGACGUGGAGGGGCGGCAGAUAGAGACAGAUGGCCGCCCGGAGGGGCGACAGCGACGACGGCUCCGACAAACAACGGGUAGGUCAUCUAACACUUAACGUCAUCUGCUCUCCGUGUAACCGGUGUUACCGAGAUUGCGAGAAUGCUCCCUAGUCUUGUGUUUGGAAUAGACCUCGUUUACGUCCCGACAAGACAUGGUGAGCUGCAGGAGGCGAUCGGGUGAAGUGUCGAUCCCACCUCUCACACGUCUGAUCACUCGGGUUUAGUCACGUGUUUAGUUAAGUUGUCCGAUGGUUCCUCCGUCACCUCGUCUUCUGUGUGCCAAAACUUCGCCACUAGCCGUAACUCUGGGUACAAGUCGAGAGUUGGUAGUGUUUCCGUAAAACGAGGACGGGUAUGCUGAUACCGAGGGUCGGUUUGUCGUGGCAAACGGGGUGGACGUACCCGGUGGGGCCCUGUAACGGCCAAGACUUGCGUUUCCAACAACUUACACGACAGUUCGAUCCGGAGCGAGAGUUGACACUCUAAAGGUACUGUAGGUUCAAACUGUCUUUCGUCAUGAAGAUGGGUCUAGACGGGUUCCCUAUGGUCUAAAGCGUCAAACUGUAAGGCUAACGACUCUUCCCAAUGGAACUAAACCUAUAAGGUUACCUCAAACCACCACCAGUGUCCGCUAAACCCCAGUGCGCCCAAGUAUACCUUCUUCUACGACCGUUCGACGAAGUGAGACUUAGACCCUCAAAAAGAGUCCAACUGGAUUUAUCUCGGCCGCAGGGAAACGAUCUCUAACAGAGUCUCGGUCUAUACUCCUGUCCGUAUCUCCGACGACUCAUACCACGACUCUAUGUUUCCCAACAAUCUAUGGACCCACACCCGUUACCGUUGUACGUCCUUCCAAGGGAGGCGACACUACAGUUACAUAGACAGGCCGGGUAACCUGUUAGUCUUAAGCCAUGUUUCCAACUUUAUUUCUUAUACUUGAGUAAAAGACUUUAUUCAUCCCGUUAUCUAAUACUCUAUAGGGCUGUCUAAGAAGAAGUGUUUCUUUCGGUCCGACUGUUUUAACAUGUCCUUUGGGCAGAUACCCUACUUAGAAGAGUCUUUUGAAAAUGUUACGCCUUUUUCCUCCCUGAACGGCUGAUGUCUAUAAAAGGACUCGGACUAGAAGGACUUCAACAAGACUGAUCACUCAUGCAACUACUUUAAGCAUUAAGUUACGGCCUCGAAGGUCUCCGUUUCGCAUCCGCAAUACUCUUGUACCCCGAGUCGUACGUUCUACAAUAAAAGGAACGAUUACUACUAUAACAACGAGUAAAGAAACUAAGAUGUGAACUCGCACCACGACUACGUUUCGAUCGACGAUUAACCUAGUACCCACUGUAAUGCCGAAUAGACUUCUUACUUUUCGAGAGAUAACUACUUUAAUUUAAUUGUGGAGAACUCGAAAGACUUGACUAACGUAAGUAUUUCUUACCAUGAUAGUCACCCUUCUAACCGUUCCUCUAAGAACAACUCGAGUAAUGGUUUCCGCCUUGACAGUUCAGCCACUAUCUCCUCUUUCUAAACCAAGUCUAUCGUCUAGGUCGUCGUUAACUCCGGUACCAUCUAUUUCAUGAGCGGCUCUUAGGCUUCGUUGAACUCGUCAUAGCCCGACCCUUUUGGUUCAACGUCCCUAAAAAACGACCGGUCCACUACUUUCGUAGCUUUCCAUUUCGUUCAGGACAAAAUAACUUGUUUUAGGAGCCCCUCUUCAACUUCCCGUUAAUUUUAACGGCUCCCCACAAAGCCGUGUGUCUCUUAUAAAACGGGAACUACUCACUUGGUAGUCUAAUUGAUUUCACCUUGGGGCGUCGCCUUUGCGUAAGAAAACAUUUCUGUGAACCUCAAAAAAAAACUCAACAACUAACAAAAACUCUAUCGAUUGGCGAAUAAGUUUCGCCACUGUGAAUGAACCUCAAACUUCACAACUAAUGUAAAGCGAGAGAAAAGUGAUGUCUCACCUAAAACCUUUUCGUUAGCUCAAGUGUACUAUGUUACUUCCUAUACGUACCAUACACAAACUCGACUACUACCUCACCGGUCAACAUGUCUACUUAGUCAACGCAUACGAAUGUACAAAGAUGAGCGCAGAAAAAAACGUAAACUAGAAUGCGUCGACAUUUGAGUAAAAAUUAAACCUGUGUAGUCAAUGCUAGGACUUACACCGAAAUGGAAAACUUAAUGAUGAUUCAAUUCGGGAACUCAAACAAGGUCGUAAUAGUAUAGUAAAACUUGAUGAUAAUUC
This 2349-nucleotide ribosomal RNA is filed under the name Triticum aestivum (bread wheat). RNAcentral describes it as "partial small subunit ribosomal RNA". The record is from RNAcentral. Lineage: Eukaryota; Viridiplantae; Streptophyta; Magnoliopsida; Poales; Poaceae.